Molecule: ribosomal RNA, 166 nt
Filed under: uncultured bacterium
Lineage: Bacteria
Description: partial 16S ribosomal RNA
Rfam family: Bacterial small subunit ribosomal RNA
Source: RNAcentral
UGGAUUCGCUAGUAAUCGCGCAUCAGCCAUGGCGCGGUGAAUACGUUCCCGGGCCUUGUACACGCCGCCCGUCAAGCCAUGGAAGCCGGGGGUGCCUGAAGUGUGCAGCCGCAAGGAGCGCCCUAAGGUAAAACCGGUGACUGGGGCUAAGUCGUAACAAGGUAUC